CCUGAGUUUACAACUCCCAAACCCCUGUGAACAUACCUAUACGUUGCCUCGGCGGAUCAGCCCGCGCCCCGUAAAAAGGGACGGCCCGCCCGAGGACCCCUAAACUCUGUUUUUAGUGGAACUUCUGAGUAAAACAAACAAAUAAAUCA
RNAcentral lists this unclassified non-coding RNA (149 nucleotides) under soil metagenome. Its description in RNAcentral is "partial internal transcribed spacer 1". The record is from RNAcentral.